This 445-nucleotide ribosomal RNA is filed under the name uncultured organism. Its description in RNAcentral is "partial 16S ribosomal RNA". It matches the Rfam family "Bacterial small subunit ribosomal RNA", at positions 335 to 797 of the family's 1533-position model. The record is from RNAcentral.
ACUCCUACGGGAGGCAGCAGUGGGGAAUAUUGGACAAUGGGCGCAAGCCUGAUCCAGCCAUGCCGCGUGAGUGAUGAAGGCCCUAGGGUUGUAAAGCUCUUUCACCGGUGAAGAUAAUGACGGUAACCGGAGAAGAAGCCCCGGCUAACUUCGUGCCAGCAGCCGCGGUAAUACGAAGGGGGCUAGCGUUGUUCGGAUUUACUGGGCGUAAAGCGCACGUAGGCGGACUAUUAAGUCAGGGGUGAAAUCCCGGGGCUCAACCCCGGAACUGCCUUUGAUACUGGUAGUCUUGAGUUCGAGAGAGGUGAGUGGAAUUCCGAGUGUAGAGGUGAAAUUCGUAGAUAUUCGGAGGAACACCAGUGGCGAAGGCGGCUCACUGGCUCGAUACUGACGCUGAGGUGCGAAAGCGUGGGGAGCAAACAGGAUUAGAAACCCGGGUAGUCCC